AUGUUUUCGGAUACUGCCAUACAAUUACAACCUAUCUUUGCUCAAUGGGUACAAAAUAUCCAUGCUACUGCGCCUGGCGUAACAGCUCCUGGUGCAACAACAAGUACUAGCUUAACGUGGGGAGGUGGCGAGUUAGUAGCAGUAGGUGGCAAAGUGGCUUUGUUACCUAUUCCAUUAGGAACCGCAGAUUUUUUAGUCCAUCACAUUCAUGCAUUUACCAUACAUGUGACUGUAUUAAUACUUUUGAAAGGUGUUUUAUUUGCUCGGAGUUCCCGUUUGAUACCUGAUAAAGCAAAUCUAGGUUUUCGCUUUCCUUGCGAUGGGCCUGGCCGAGGGGGAACAUGUCAAGUAUCCGCCUGAGAUCAUGUUUUCCCCACACCAUCGCCGUCGCCGCCCCCUGCCUCCUCGUCGCCUCUCGCCGCGCCCCUCACCGUCCCCGUCGCCGCCCCCUGCCUCCUCGUCGCCUGUCGCCGCACCCCUCACCGUCGCCAUCGCCGCGCCCCUCACCGUCGCCGUCGCCGCGCCCCUCACCGUCGCCCCCGUGCCCUGCCUCCUCGUCGAUCGUCGCCCCCUUAA
Molecule: ribosomal RNA, 576 nt
Filed under: Triticum aestivum (bread wheat)
Lineage: Eukaryota; Viridiplantae; Streptophyta; Magnoliopsida; Poales; Poaceae
Description: partial small subunit ribosomal RNA
Source: RNAcentral